RNAcentral lists this ribosomal RNA (251 nucleotides) under uncultured prokaryote. RNAcentral's name for it is "partial 16S rRNA". It matches the Rfam family "Bacterial small subunit ribosomal RNA", at positions 525 to 775 of the family's 1533-position model. The record is from RNAcentral.
ACGGAGGGUGCAAGCGUUGUUCGGAAUUACUGGGCGUAAAGCGCGUGUAGGCGGACGCAGAAGUCGGGUGUGAAAGCCCCGGGCUUAACUCGGGAAGUGCGCUCGAAACCAUGGGUCUUGAGGUCCGGAGGGGAUCGGGGAGUUCCCAGUGUAGAGGUGAAAUUCGUAGAUAUUGGGAGGAACACCGGUGGCGAAGGCGCCGAUCUGGCCGGACUCUGACGCUGAGACGCGAAAGCGUGGGGAGCAAACAG